Molecule: ribosomal RNA, 359 nt
Filed under: Deltaproteobacteria bacterium
Lineage: Bacteria; Pseudomonadati; Myxococcota; Myxococcia
Description: bacterial SSU rRNA
Rfam family: Bacterial small subunit ribosomal RNA
Source: RNAcentral
CAACUGGAGAGUUUGAUCCUGGCUCAGAACGAACGCUGGCGGCGUGCCUAACACAUGCAAGUCGCGCGAGAAAAGGGGGGCAACCCCCUGAGUAAAGCGGCGCACGGGUGAGUAACACGUAGGUAACCUACCCUCGAGUCUAGAAUAACCUACCGAAAGGUGGGCUAAUGCCGGAUAUGACCACGGGGACUUCGGUCUCUGCGGUGAAAGGUGGCCUCUGCUUGCAAGCUACCGCUCGAAGAUGGGCCUGCGCGCCAUUAGCUAGUUGGUGGGGUAACGGCCCACCAAGGCGAUGAUGGCUAGCUGGUCUGAGAGGAUGGCCAGCCACACUGGGACUGAAACACGGCCCAGACUCCUAC